This 352-nucleotide long non-coding RNA is filed under the name Anas platyrhynchos platyrhynchos (common mallard). RNAcentral's name for it is "lncRNA (ENSAPLG00000016485.1)". The record is from RNAcentral. Lineage: Eukaryota; Metazoa; Chordata; Aves; Anseriformes; Anatidae.
GGAAACCCCAGUGUCAGAAGGGGAAGGUGCUGCUAAUCGCUGGUUUCCAUGCGUGAGUUUGGGUUAAUUCCAGCAAUGCCAUCCAGGAAACAAAGUCAGCAGAAGCCUUUCCUAUUAAAACUGUCACAGCUUGAUAGGACUCAUUCGACAAAACUAAAAGGGAAACAGCCACCUCGAGCUUCUGUUCACUGUGAGGCAAGAGAUGGGGGGGAGGCAGGAGGGGGUUUUGCAAAUCUGAAAGCGAGAGGAGUUGCUAGUCCACCCGUGACAUGGAGCCAGCAGCAAAGAUCAUCACUGUUUCUCUGAGUGGGAGUUUUGCUGUACAAGAUGGCCUGAAAUGAAAAUGAGCUGC